UGACGACUUGUGAAUAGCGGAGGGAUCAUUA
RNAcentral lists this ribosomal RNA (31 nucleotides) under Colletotrichum falcatum. Its description in RNAcentral is "partial 18S ribosomal RNA". Lineage: Eukaryota; Fungi; Ascomycota; Sordariomycetes; Glomerellales; Glomerellaceae. The record is from RNAcentral.